GACAUGGCAGGAAUCCUAAAGAGAUUGAGAGUGCUCGAAAGAGAACCUGCACACAGGUGCUGCAUGGCUGUCGUCAGCUCGUGUCGUGAGAUGUUGGGUUAAGUCCCGCAACGAGCGCAACCCUUGCCAUUAGUUGCUACGAAAGGGCACUCUAAUGGGACUGCCGGUGACAAACCGGAGGAAGGUGGGGAUGACGUCAAGUCCUCAUGGCCCUUAUAGGUGGGGCUACACACGUCAUACAAUGGCCGGUACAGAGGGUAGCCAACCCGCGAGGGGGAGCCAAUCCCACAAAGCCGGUCGUAGUCCGGAUCGCAGUCUGCAACUCGACUGCGUGAAGUCGGAAUCGCUAGUAAUCGCGGAUCAGCAUGUCGCGGUGAAUACGUUCCCGGGUCUU
This 394-nucleotide ribosomal RNA is filed under the name uncultured Allobrachymonas sp. Its description in RNAcentral is "bacterial SSU rRNA". It matches the Rfam family "Bacterial small subunit ribosomal RNA", at positions 983 to 1382 of the family's 1533-position model. The record is from RNAcentral. Lineage: Bacteria; Pseudomonadati; Pseudomonadota; Betaproteobacteria; Burkholderiales; Comamonadaceae.